RNAcentral lists this unclassified non-coding RNA (338 nucleotides) under Hevea brasiliensis (rubber tree). Lineage: Eukaryota; Viridiplantae; Streptophyta; Magnoliopsida; Malpighiales; Euphorbiaceae. The record is from RNAcentral.
GUCAAAGAAGCACGGUCUGCUGUGGCCAUGUUACACCAAAAAGAAAUCAAGGGAGGAAUUGUUUGGGCACGCCAGCUAGGUGGAGAGGGUUCCAGGACUCAGAAAUGGAAAAUUAUUGUCAGAAAUCUUCCAUUCAAGGCUAAAGCAAAUGAAUUAAGAGAUGCGUUUUCGUCAGCUGGUUUUGUCUGGGAUGUAUUUAUUCCUCAUAAUUCUUCAACAGGGCUAUCGAAGGGUUUUGCAUUCGUCAAAUUUACAUGUAAACAGGACACAGAAAAUGCCAUUAAAAGUUUCAAUGCGCAAAUGUAUGGCAAAAGGACCAUGGCUGUUGACUGGGCUGU